Molecule: long non-coding RNA, 561 nt
Filed under: Malus domestica (apple)
Lineage: Eukaryota; Viridiplantae; Streptophyta; Magnoliopsida; Rosales; Rosaceae
Description: long non-coding RNA (MDOM_LNC005131)
Source: RNAcentral
AGACUUCUAUUGAGGGACUUAGUCGAGGAGAGUUUCUCAUAAUUUUAUUAAAAUUAGUCCAAUAACAAACACAGGAUUAUACUAACUUUUACUCUAGAUACUAACUUUUAAUCCAGUGUGAAAACUAGUGAAGGCAAACAAGUGCACCAAUAAUAGAGCAAAACAACAUUAACGUAUAGUUUGGACAAGAAUGCAUGACAUACAUGUUUGUCGCAUCUUAUAUAUAACAAAAAAAUUGGAAUGCGACUGAUACAUUACUUUUGCAAUGGUCUUAACUGUGUUCGGUGGCUUGGGAUUAGCUCUUAGUUUAAUUUUUAUUAAUUACGUUUAAAAUGGUUUAACUGGGUUAGGUGGCUUGCGAUUAGCUCAUAGUUUAAUUUUUAUUAAUUUAUUACUAAUUAUGGAUUAGUUGGUUUAUUAUAGUAAACACGAAUUUUCCUGCGAUGAAUGAGACAAGAACACGUGUACAAAAUAAUAUUUUGUAUUAAUUUUGGAGUUACAAUCUCUUUUACAAUUUGAUCCUUUGAUUCUAUCUUCGUAAGGUGUAGAUUUGUGGAUGGG